Lepisosteus oculatus (spotted gar) is the source of this 609-nucleotide long non-coding RNA. RefSeq lists it as uncharacterized. The record is from RefSeq and is a predicted model, not a curated record. Lineage: Eukaryota; Metazoa; Chordata; Actinopteri; Semionotiformes; Lepisosteidae.
GGGAAAACGCUCCGAUCUUGCGUCUCUCACCAACACCAAAGAAACUUGUGCCCAUUUUAAUCUGAUUAAUGCUUUAGGAUUUUCUGCUAAUUGGCUUGGAUGUAGCUGAACAACGCAUUUGGGUGUCUGCUUUGUUUUGUUUUUCCUUUUCCUCCGUUUUUUUUCUGGGUUUUGGAUACAUACCGGAGCUGAUUUGAGUUUUUGGCUUUUGUAUCAAACUAUUAUUGAUAUUUCCCCCCCUCAAAACACUUUUUUUUCUCUCGAAUCAUAUCACCGUUCCCUUUUUGAAAACCGGCUGCCAAACAGAAUACGCGCUUUCUGUAAAUUAUAUCGUCACAUGCUGGAUCUUGACCAUACCAUUCCGAUGUGUACGGCUGGUUACAGACAAUACAGUGAAUUAAUCCUUUAGACAUGACCAUAAAGACUGUCAGAACAACAGCUGAUAACCUAGGGUCUCAGAACUCAAAACUGAAGAAUUUGCAGCACUUUUCUGGACACUCCACUCAAAGAGCUUUACAGAUAAUCCCCUUCACCAAUGCCGAUGUGCAGCCCCACCUGGAUGAUGCGACGGCAGCCAUAGUGCGCCAGAAUGCUCACCACACACCAGUU